RNAcentral lists this ribosomal RNA (618 nucleotides) under uncultured bacterium. RNAcentral describes it as "bacterial SSU rRNA". It matches the Rfam family "Bacterial small subunit ribosomal RNA", at positions 338 to 945 of the family's 1533-position model. The record is from RNAcentral.
CCUACGGGAGGCAGCAGUGGGGAAUUUUGGACAAUGGGCGCAAGCCUGAUCCAGCAAUGCCGCGUGAGUGAAGAAGGCCUUCGGGUUGUAAAGCUCUUUUGUCAGGGAAGAAACGGUAGAGGCUAAUAUCCUUUGCUAAUGACGGUACCUGAAGAAUAAGCACCGGCUAACUACGUGCCAGCAGCCGCGGUAAUACGUAGGGUGCAAGCGUUAAUCGGAAUUACUGGGCGUAAAGCGUGCGCAGGCGGUUUUGUAAGUCUGACGUGAAAGCCCCGGGCUCAACCUGGGAAUUGCGUUGGAGACUGCAAGGCUUGAAUCUGGCAGAGGGGGGUAGAAUUCCACGUGUAGCAGUGAAAUGCGUAGAGAUGUGGAGGAACACCGAUGGCGAAGGCAGCCCCCUGGGUCAAGAUUGACGCUCAUGCACGAAAGCGUGGGGAGCAAACAGGAUUAGAUACCCUGGUAGUCCACGCCCUAAACGAUGUCUACUAGUUGUCGGGUUUUAAUUAACUUGGUAACGCAGCUAACGCGUGAAGUAGACCGCCUGGGGAGUACGGUCGCAAGAUUAAAACUUCAAAUUGAAAUUGACGGCUUGNGAGNGCGAGCGACGACGAGGAGAGG